GACGAACGCUGGCGGCGUGCCUAAUACAUGCAAGUUGAGCGCUGAAGGUUGGUACUUGUACCGACUGGAUGAGCAGCGAACGGGUGAGUAACGCGUGGGGAAUCUGCCUUUGAGCGGGGGACAACAUUUGGAAACGAAUGCUAAUACCGCAUAAAAACUUUAAACACAAGUUUUAAGUUUGAAAGAUGCAAUUGCAUCACUCAAAGAUGAUCCCGCGUUGUAUUAGCUAGUUGGUGAGGUAAAGGCUCACCAAGGCGAUGAUACAUAGCCGACCUGAGAGGGUGAUCGGCCACAUUGGGACUGAGACACGGCCCAAACUCCUACGGGAGGCAGCAGUAGGGAAUCUUCGGCAAUGGACGAAAGUCUGACCGAGCAACGCCGCGUGAGUGAAGAAUGUUUUCGGAUCGUAAAACUCUGUUGGUAGAGAAGAACGUUGGUGAGAGUGGAAAGCUCAUCAAGUGACGGUAACUACCCAGAAAGGGACGGCUAACUACGUG
This 497-nucleotide ribosomal RNA is filed under the name uncultured bacterium. RNAcentral describes it as "partial 16S ribosomal RNA". It matches the Rfam family "Bacterial small subunit ribosomal RNA", at positions 28 to 507 of the family's 1533-position model. The record is from RNAcentral.